ACUCAAAGGAAUAGACGGGGGCCCGCACAAGCGGUGGAGCAUGUGGUUUAAUUCGACGCAACGCGAAGAACCUUACCUGGGCUCGAACGGCUUAAGACCGGUGUAGAAAUACAUUUUUUCCGCAAGGAACUUGAGUCGAGGUGCUGCAUGGCUGUCGUCAGCUCGUGUCGUGAGAUGUUGGGUUAAGUCCCGCAACGAGCGCAACCCUUGCCCUGUUUUGCCAUCAUUCAGUUGGGAACUAUCAGGGGACCGCCAGCGAUAAGCUGGAGGAAGGUGGGGAUGACGUCAAGUCAUCAUGGCCUUUAUGUCCAGGGCUACACACGUGCUACAAUGGACGGUACAAUGCGCUGCCAACCCGCGAGGGGGAGCAAAUCGCAAAAAACCGUUCUCAGUUCGGAUCGCAGGCUGCAACUCGCCUGCGUGAAGCUGGAAUCGCUAGUAAUGGCAUAUCAGAACGAUGCCGUGAAUACGUUCCCGGGCCUUGUACACACCGCCCGU
RNAcentral lists this ribosomal RNA (498 nucleotides) under uncultured bacterium. Its description in RNAcentral is "partial 16S ribosomal RNA". It matches the Rfam family "Bacterial small subunit ribosomal RNA", at positions 899 to 1397 of the family's 1533-position model. The record is from RNAcentral.